This is a long non-coding RNA of Vidua macroura (Pin-tailed whydah), 213 nucleotides long. RefSeq lists it as uncharacterized. The record is from RefSeq and is a predicted model, not a curated record. The transcript has 5 exons. Lineage: Eukaryota; Metazoa; Chordata; Aves; Passeriformes; Viduidae.
CCAGGUGAGCUCAGGUGUGCCCCAAGUGUGUUCAGGUGUGCCCCAGGUGAGCUCAGAUUUGCCCAUGUGAGCUCAUGUGUGCCCCAGGUAUGCUGAGGUAAGCUCAGCUGUGCUCAGGUGUGCCCAGGUGAGCUGUCCCUGUCCCAUUCUCCAAGAGGGAAAAUCCAGGCCCUGGAAAGGCCCCGCCCCAUCCAGGUGUGCACCUGUCCCAUC